ACAAACUUGGUCAUUUAGAGGAAGUAAAAGUCGUAACAAGGUUUCCGUAGGUGAACCUGCGGAAGGAUCAUUACCGAGUUAGGGUUUCCUCCAAGGAGCCCGACCUCCCAACCCUUUGCUUAACCUUACCUUGUGUUGCUUCGGCGGGCCCGUCUCUACGACCGCCGGGGGACCGUCAAACGUCCUCUGGCCCGUUGCCCGCCGGUGGCCAAUACCUAUAAACUCUGAACUAAGCGUGUCUUUGUCUGAGUAACAUGACCUAAAAUCAUAAACAAAACUUUCAACAACGGAUCUCUUGGUUCUGGCAUCGAUGAAGAACGCAGC
Molecule: unclassified non-coding RNA, 324 nt
Filed under: uncultured fungus
Lineage: Eukaryota; Fungi
Description: partial contains small subunit ribosomal RNA, internal transcribed spacer 1, and 5.8S ribosomal RNA
Rfam family: Eukaryotic small subunit ribosomal RNA (bases 1-73)
Source: RNAcentral